UGCGAUAAGCGCCGGUAAGGUGAUAUGAACCGUUAUAACCGGCGAUUUCCGAAUGGGGAAACCCAGUGUGAUUCGUCACACUAUCAUUAACUGAAUCCAUAGGUUAAUGAGGCGAACCGGGGGAACUGAAACAUCUAAGUACCCCGAGGAAAAGAAAUCAACCGAGAUUCCCCCAGUAGCGGCGAGCGAACGGGGAGGAGCCCAGAGCCUGAAUCAGCAUGUGUGUUAGUGGAAGCGUCUGGAAAGGCGCGCGAUACAGGGUGACAGCCCCGUACACAAAAGCGCAUGUGCUGUGAGCUCGAUGAGUAGGGCGGGACACGUGGUAUCCUGUCUGAAUAUGGGGGGACCAUCCUCCAAGGCUAAAUACUCCUGACUGACCGAUAGUGAACCAGUACCGUGAGGGAAAGGCGAAAAGAACCCCGGCGAGGGGAGUGAAAAAGAACCUGAAACCGUGUACGUACAAGCAGUGGGAGCACCCUUUGGGGUGUGACUGCGUACCUUUUGUAUAAUGGGUCAGCGACUUAUAUUCUGUAGCAAGGUUAACCGUAUAGGGGAGCCGGAGGGAAACCGAGUCUUAAU
This 579-nucleotide ribosomal RNA is filed under the name Salmonella enterica subsp. enterica serovar Hadar. RNAcentral's name for it is "partial 23S ribosomal RNA". It matches the Rfam family "Bacterial large subunit ribosomal RNA", at positions 67 to 688 of the family's 2925-position model. The record is from RNAcentral. Lineage: Bacteria; Pseudomonadati; Pseudomonadota; Gammaproteobacteria; Enterobacterales; Enterobacteriaceae.